AAUGAACGUUGGCGGCAUGGAUUAGGCAUGCAAGUCGCGCGAUAAGAUUCCUUCGGGAAUCCGAAAGCGGCGAAAGGGAGAGUAACGCGUAGAUGAUCUACCCCGAGGACUGGGAUAGCGGCGGGAAACUGCCGGUAAUACCAGAUGAUGUCUCCGGACCAAAGGUGUGAUUCCGCCUUGGGAUGAAUCUGCGUCCUAUUAGCUAGUUGGUGAGGUAACGGCUCACCAAGGCGAAGAUGGGUACCGGGUGUGAGAGCAUGACCCGGCUCACUGGGACUGAGACACUGCCCAGACACCUACGGGUGGCUGCAGUCGAGAAUCUUCGGCAAUGGGCGAAAGCCUGACCGAGCAAUGCCGCGUGCGGGAUGAAGG
This 372-nucleotide ribosomal RNA is filed under the name uncultured bacterium. RNAcentral describes it as "bacterial SSU rRNA". It matches the Rfam family "Bacterial small subunit ribosomal RNA", at positions 29 to 414 of the family's 1533-position model. The record is from RNAcentral.